CCUACGGGGGGCAGCAGUAGGGAAUCUUCCGCAAUGGGCGCAAGCCUGACGGAGCAAUACCGCGUGAGGGAUGACAGCCUGUGGGUUGUAAACCUCUUUUUUCAAGGAGGAAGAUCUGACGUGUACUUGAAGAAUAAGCAUCGGCUAACUCCGUGCCAGCAGCCGCGGUAAGACGGAGGAUGCAAGUGUUAUCCGGAAUCACUGGGCGUAAAGCGUCUGUAGGUGGUUUAAUAAGUCAGUUGUUACAAAUUGAGGCUUAACCUUAAACAAGCAACAGAUACUGUUAAACUUGAGUAUAGUAGAGGUAAAAGGAAUUUCCAGUGGAGCGGUGAAAUGCGUAGAGAUUGGAAAGAACACCGAUGGCGAAGGCAUUUUACUGGGCUAUAACUGACACUCAGAGACGAAAGCUAGGGUAGCAAAUGGGAUUAGAUACCCGGGUAGUC
This 443-nucleotide ribosomal RNA is filed under the name uncultured bacterium. RNAcentral's name for it is "bacterial SSU rRNA". It matches the Rfam family "Bacterial small subunit ribosomal RNA", at positions 338 to 795 of the family's 1533-position model. The record is from RNAcentral.